Molecule: ribosomal RNA, 436 nt
Filed under: Bacillus sp. (in: firmicutes)
Lineage: Bacteria; Bacillati; Bacillota; Bacilli; Caryophanales; Bacillaceae
Description: bacterial SSU rRNA
Rfam family: Bacterial small subunit ribosomal RNA
Source: RNAcentral
UACUCCUACCCGGAGGCAGCAGUAGGGAAUCUUCCGCAAUGGACGAAAGUCUGACGGAGCAACGCCGCGUGAGUGAUGAAGGUUUUCGGAUCGUAAAGCUCUGUUGUUAGGGAAGAACAAGUGCAAGAGUAACUGCUUGCACCUUGACGGUACCUAACCAGAAAGCCACGGCUAACUACGUGCCAGCAGCCGCGGUAAUACGUAGGUGGCAAGCGUUGUCCGGAAUUAUUGGGCGUAAAGGGCUCGCAGGCGGUUUCUUAAGUCUGAUGUGAAAGCCCCCGGCUCAACCGGGGAGGGUCAUUGGAAACUGGGAAACUUGAGUGCAGAAGAGGAGAGUGGAAUUCCACGUGUAGCGGUGAAAUGCGUAGAGAUGUGGAGGAACACCAGUGGCGAAGGCGACUCUCUGGUCUGUAACUGACGCUGAGGAGCGAAAGCC